AUGGCUCAGGAUGAACGCUAGCUACAGGCUUAACACAUGCAAGUCGAGGGGCAGCAUUUCAGUUUGCUUGCAAACUGGAGAUGGCGACCGGCGCACGGGUGAGUAACACGUAUCCAACCUGCCGAUAACUCGGGGAUAGCCUUUCGAAAGAAAGAUUAAUACCCGAUGGUAUAAUCAGACCGCAUGGUCUUGUUAUUAAAGAAUUUCGGUUAUCGAUGGGGAUGCGUUCCAUUAGGCAGUUGGUGAGGUAACGGCUCACCAAACCUUCGAUGGAUAGGGGUUCUGAGAGGAAGGUCCCCCACAUUGGAACUGAGACACGGUCCAAACUCCUACGGGAGGCAGCAGUGAGGAAUAUUGGUCAAUGGGCGCAGGCCUGAACCAGCCAAGUAGCGUGAAGGAUGACUGCCCUAUGGGUUGUAAACUUCUUUUAUAUGGGAAUAAAGUUUUCCACGUGUGGAAUUUUGUAUGUACCAUAUGAAUAAGGAUCGGCUAACUCCGUGCCAGCAGCCGCGGUAAUACGGAGGAUCCGAGCGUUAUCCGGAUUUAUUGGGUUUAAAGGGAGCGUAGGUGGACAGUUAAGUCAGUUGUGAAAGUUUGCGGCUCAACCGUAAAAUUGCAGUUGAUACUGGCUGUCUUGAGUACAGUAGAGGUGGGCGGAAUUCGUGGUGUAGCGGUGAAAUGCUUAGAUAUCACGAAGAACUCCGAUUGCGAAGGCAGCUCACUGGACUGCAACUGACACUGAUGCUCGAAAGUGUGGGUAUCAAACAGGAUUAGAUACCCUGGUAGUCCACACAGUAAACGAUGAAUACUCGCUGUUUGCGAUAUACAGUAAGCGGCCAAGCGAAAGCAUUAAGUAUUCCACCUGGGGAGUACGCCGGCAACGGUGAAACUCAAAGGAAUUGACGGGGGCCCGCACAAGCGGAGGAACAUGUGGUUUAAUUCGAUGAUACGCGAGGAACCUUACCCGGGCUUAAAUUGCAUUUGAAUAUAUUGGAAACAGUAUAGCCGUAAGGCAAAUGUGAAGGUGCUGCAUGGUUGUCGUCAGCUCGUGCCGUGAGGUGUCGGCUUAAGUGCCAUAACGAGCGCAACCCUUAUCUUUAGUUACUAACAGGUCAUGCUGAGGACUCUAGAGAGACUGCCGUCGUAAGAUGUGAGGAAGGUGGGGAUGACGUCAAAUCAGCACGGCCCUUACGUCCGGGGCUACACACGUGUUACAAUGGGGGGUACAGAAGGCAGCUACCUGGUGACAGGAUGCUAAUCCCAAAAGCCUCUCUCAGUUCGGAUCGAAGUCUGCAACCCGACUUCGUGAAGCUGGAUUCGCUAGUAAUCGCGCAUCAGCCAUGGCGCGGUGAAUACGUUCCCGGGCCUUGUACACACCGCCCGUCAAGCCAUGAAAGCCGGGGGUACCUGAAGUACGUAACCGCAAGGAGCGUCCUAGGGUA
Molecule: ribosomal RNA, 1442 nt
Filed under: uncultured organism
Description: SSU rRNA
Rfam family: Bacterial small subunit ribosomal RNA
Source: RNAcentral